GGGGUUGUGGCUCAGUGGUACAGCGCAUGACUGGCAUGCAUGAGGCCCUGGGUUCGAUCCUCAGCACCA
Molecule: transfer RNA, 69 nt
Filed under: Ictidomys tridecemlineatus (thirteen-lined ground squirrel)
Lineage: Eukaryota; Metazoa; Chordata; Mammalia; Rodentia; Sciuridae
Description: Spermophilus tridecemlineatus (thirteen-lined ground squirrel) tRNA
Rfam family: tRNA
About the family: Transfer RNA (tRNA) molecules are approximately 80 nucleotides in length.
Source: Rfam by way of RNAcentral